ACACGUAGGGGCCUGACGUUGUUCGGAAUCAUUGGGCGUAAAGGGCGCGCAGGCGGCCGUCCAAGUCCGGUGUUAAAUGGUCGGGCUCAACCCGAUCAUGCGCUGGAAACUGGGCGGCUUGAGUCCCGUAGGGGAUGCCGGAAUUCCAGGUGUAGGGGUGAAAUCUGUAGAUAUCUGGAAGAACACCGAUGGCGAAGGCAGGCAUCUGGCCGGAGACUGACGCUGAGGCGCGAAGGCGCGGGGAGCGAACAGGUUUAGAUGCCCUGGUAGUCCGCGCAGUAAACGAUGCGCACCAGGUGUCGGGCGGCAGCGCCCGGUACCGGAGCUAACGCGAUGAGUGCGCCGCCUGGGGAGUAUGCCCG
This 362-nucleotide ribosomal RNA is filed under the name uncultured bacterium. RNAcentral describes it as "partial 16S ribosomal RNA". It matches the Rfam family "Bacterial small subunit ribosomal RNA", at positions 523 to 888 of the family's 1533-position model. The record is from RNAcentral.